UGGCUCAGUUGGUAGAGCAUGGUGUUUGCAACGCCAGCGUGGUGGGUUCGAUUCCCAC
RNAcentral lists this transfer RNA (58 nucleotides) under Salmo salar (Atlantic salmon). It matches the Rfam family "tRNA", at positions 8 to 63 of the family's 71-position model. From Rfam's summary of the family: Transfer RNA (tRNA) molecules are approximately 80 nucleotides in length. Lineage: Eukaryota; Metazoa; Chordata; Actinopteri; Salmoniformes; Salmonidae. The record is from Rfam by way of RNAcentral.